CCUACGGGAGGCAGCAGUGGGGAAUCUUGCGCAAUGGCCGCAAGGCUGACGCAGCGACGCCGCGUGUGGGAUGACGGCCUUCGGGUUGUAAACCACUGUCGGGAGGAACGAAUACUCGGCCUCGAAUAGGGGACCGAGGGUGACGGUACCUCCAAAGGAAGCACCGGCUAACUCCGUGCCAGCAGCCGCGGUAAUACGGAGGGUGCGAGCGUUGUCCGGAAUCACUGGGCGUAAAGGGCGCGUAGGUGGCUCGUUAAGUGGUUGGUGAAAUCCCGGGGCUCAACUCCGGGGCUGCCGGUCAGACUGGCGGGCUAGAGCACGGUAGGGGCAGAUGGAAUUCCCGGUGUAGCGGUGGAAUGCGUAGAGAUCGGGAAGAACACCAGUGGCGAAGGCGUUCUGCUGGGCCGUUGCUGACACUGAGGCGCGACAGCGUGGGGAGC
RNAcentral lists this ribosomal RNA (440 nucleotides) under uncultured bacterium. RNAcentral's name for it is "bacterial SSU rRNA". It matches the Rfam family "Bacterial small subunit ribosomal RNA", at positions 338 to 769 of the family's 1533-position model. The record is from RNAcentral.